GUAGGGAAUAUUGGGCAAUGGUCGGAAGACUGACCCAGCCAUGCCGCGUGCAGGAAGACGGCCCUCUGGGUUGUAAACUGCUUUUAUCUGGGAAGAAAAAGGCCAUGCGUGGCAAAUUGCCGGUACCAGAUGAAUAAGCACCGGCUAACUCCGUGCCAGCAGCCGCGGUAAUACGGAGGGUGCGAGCGUUGUCCGGAUUUAUUGGGUUUAAAGGGUGCGUAGGCGGCUGAUUAAGUCAGCGGUGAAAGACUUCGGCUUAACCGGAGCAGUGCCGUUGAUACUGGUUGGCUUGAGUGUCGGAGGGGUACAUGGAAUUGAUGGUGUAGCGGUGAAAUGCAUAGAUACCAUCAGGAACACCGAUAGCGAAGGCAUUGUACUGGCCGACAACUGACGCUGAUGCACGAAAGUGUGGGGAUUGAACAGGAUUAGAAACCCGGGUAGUCC
This 444-nucleotide ribosomal RNA is filed under the name uncultured bacterium. RNAcentral describes it as "partial 16S ribosomal RNA". It matches the Rfam family "Bacterial small subunit ribosomal RNA", at positions 354 to 796 of the family's 1533-position model. The record is from RNAcentral.